CCUACGGGGGGCAGCAGUAGGGAAUCUUCCGCAAUGGACGAAAGUCUGACGGAGCAACGCCGCGUGAGCGAAGAAGGUCUUCGGAUCGUAAAGCUCUGUUGUUAGGGAAGAACAAGUACGGGAGGAAAUGACCGUACCUUGACGGUACCUAACGAGGAAUCCACGGCUAACUACGUGCGAGCAGCCGCGGCAAUACAUAGGUGGCAAGAGGUGUCCGGAAAUAUUGGGCGUAAAGCGCGCGCAGGUGGUCGUGUAAUUCUUAUGUUACAUCCUGCUGAUCAACCGAAAGCUGUAAAUGGAAGGAAGGAUACUUGAGUGCAGUACAAGCAAGCGGGAAAACACUAGAGGCGGUGAAAUGGGUAGAGUGGUGGGGGAAAGCGAAUUUGGAAGGCAGCUUACUGGACUGGAACUGCCGCUGAGGCGCGAACUCGUGGGAUGCGAACAGGAUAAGAUAUCCCUGUAGUC
Molecule: ribosomal RNA, 465 nt
Filed under: uncultured bacterium
Lineage: Bacteria
Description: bacterial SSU rRNA
Rfam family: Bacterial small subunit ribosomal RNA
Source: RNAcentral